CCGUUUGUUUUUCAAUGAAUUAGUAACAUUGUCACAGAGAGCACGGGCGGGCGGGCGCCGCCGCCACAGUGAAGUGCAGUCAUAGCUGUUGUAUUUUAUAUGCAAAUAAAAUAUAAAAUUGCAUGGAGGGCUUCAGUCAAAAUAAUGGAUUCGAAUGAAACAUACAUGCUGUGGCGGAUCCAGAGGGGGCGUAGAGGGCGUACACCCCCUUUUUGCUCGGGCUUUUUUUUUUUUUUUUUUUUUUUUGGUAAAAUGAUUAAUCAGACUAGACUUUGUGAACUUUGCAAUUUCCAGUGUACUCUAGAAUUUAAUUUUUAUGCGACAAUUCUUUACUUAUAAAGAUAUUUUUCGCUGGAAUUUAUUGAUUGUCAAAGUCAUGUCAUUCUCUAUAGUGGAGUUG
Molecule: long non-coding RNA, 400 nt
Filed under: Mytilus galloprovincialis (Mediterranean mussel)
Lineage: Eukaryota; Metazoa; Mollusca; Bivalvia; Mytilida; Mytilidae
Source: RNAcentral